GAUGAACGCUAGCUACAGGCUUAACACAUGCAAGUCGAGGGGUAACGAGAGGAAAGCUUGCUUUCCUUGUCGACGACCGGCGCACGGGUGAGUAACGCGUAUCCAACCUGCCCCCAACUAGGGAAUAACCUUGCGAAAGUAAGACUAAUACCCUAUAAUUUCCUCAGAUGCCAUCUGACGAGGAAUAAAGAUUUAUCGGUUGUGGAUGGGGAUGCGUCUGAUUAGCUUGUUGGCGGGGUAACGGCCCACCAAGGCAACGAUCAGUAGGGGUUCUGAGAGGAAGGUCCCCCACAUUGGAACUGAGACACGGUCCAAACUACUACGGGUGGCAGCAGUGAGGAAUAUUGGUCAAUGGGCGGAAGCCUGAACCAGCCAAGUAGCGUGCAGGAUGACGGCCCUAUGGGUUGUAAACUGCUUUAUACAGGAAUAAAGUUAGCCACGUGUGGUUAUUUGCAGGUACUGUAUGAAUAAGGACCGGCUAAUUCCGUGCCAGCAGCCGCCGUAA
RNAcentral lists this ribosomal RNA (505 nucleotides) under uncultured bacterium. RNAcentral describes it as "partial 16S ribosomal RNA". It matches the Rfam family "Bacterial small subunit ribosomal RNA", at positions 28 to 523 of the family's 1533-position model. The record is from RNAcentral.